GAUGGCCCUUUUCCAAGCAUGCUGAAUGGAACCGAGCAACUCAGAUGUUCUCCACUAACAGAAAAGUUAGUGCUACCUUUGACUUCUGAUAGCCCUAAAAAACUAUACAGCUGUAUUGGAGGUGAGCAAGAAUUGCCAUGGACAUGGGCCUGCCUGGGAGGCUGAGUGGGCAAGAGUAACUUGUAACCAGAAACUUUCCUUCUGGGACCACAGUCCAUCCUCUAGAUACAGUCUUCAGUGUUUCUAAAGCUGAUGACAAGACCAUCAUCUAUCUAUCUACCCAUCCAUCCAUAUGCAUCCAUCUGUAUGUUUGCAC
Molecule: non-coding RNA, 316 nt
Organism: Macaca mulatta (Rhesus monkey)
Lineage: Eukaryota; Metazoa; Chordata; Mammalia; Primates; Cercopithecidae
Source: RefSeq, a predicted model, not a curated record